RNAcentral lists this ribosomal RNA (679 nucleotides) under Bacillus licheniformis. RNAcentral's name for it is "bacterial SSU rRNA". It matches the Rfam family "Bacterial small subunit ribosomal RNA", at positions 104 to 767 of the family's 1533-position model. The record is from RNAcentral. Lineage: Bacteria; Bacillati; Bacillota; Bacilli; Caryophanales; Bacillaceae.
GGGUGAGUAACACGUGGGUAACCUGCCUGUAAGACUGGGAUAACUCCGGGAAACCGGGGCUAAUACCGGAUGCUUGAUUGAACCGCAUGGUUCAAUCAUAAAAGGUGGCUUUUAGCUACCACUUGCAGAUGGACCCGCGGCGCAUUAGCUAGUUGGUGAGGUAACGGCUCACCAAGGCGACGAUGCGUAGCCGACCUGAGAGGGUGAUCGGCCACACUGGGACUGAGACACGGCCCAGACUCCUACGGGAGGCAGCAGUAGGGAAUCUUCCGCAAUGGACGAAAGUCUGACGGAGCAACGCCGCGUGAGUGAUGAAGGUUUUCGGAUCGUAAAACUCUGUUGUUAGGGAAGAACAAGUACCGUUCGAAUAGGGCGGUACCUUGACGGUACCUAACCAGAAAGCCACGGCUAACUACGUGCCAGCAGCCGCGGUAAUACGUAGGUGGCAAGCGUUGUCCGGAAUUAUUGGGCGUAAAGCGCGCGCAGGCGGUUUCUUAAGUCUGAUGUGAAAGCCCCCGGCUCAACCGGGGAGGGUCAUUGGAAACUGGGGAACUUGAGUGCAGAAGAGGAGAGUGGAAUUCCACGUGUAGCGGUGAAAUGCGUAGAGAUGUGGAGGAACACCAGUGGCGAAGGCGACUCUCUGGUCUUGUAACUGACGUUGAAGGCGGGGCUAAAGGGA